UGCUCGUCUCUAGAUCUGCAAGUGUUGAUCGGGAUUAAACACGUGUUACUAUAUGAUCCAAUCGCAGCUUACCGCCCAAAAUUGAUGACAUAAGUUGAAUGAUUUUCUUCUAGAUUUGCUGCUUAUUUGGACGUGUAUUACAUGAACACUUUUUGUUUAUAGGAUCAAUCGUGCAUUGGUGAGUUGAUAGGUAUUUUAUCUUUUGAUAUUAGAUUUGAUUUUUAUUUACUUAUUUCCUGUCUUAUUUUUAUUGAAAUGUUCACGUCAGUAUCAUCCUUUCUUUACUUUCAGCAUUGUCCAAAAUACUAUUCAUGUCCAUAUAUUGAAGAAAACAUUUAUUGACCGAAUAUUUUGCUUCAUAAAGGGGGCGGUAUGUUCU
RNAcentral lists this long non-coding RNA (379 nucleotides) under Mytilus galloprovincialis (Mediterranean mussel). The record is from RNAcentral. Lineage: Eukaryota; Metazoa; Mollusca; Bivalvia; Mytilida; Mytilidae.